RNAcentral lists this long non-coding RNA (808 nucleotides) under Equus asinus (donkey). Its description in RNAcentral is "lncRNA (ENSEASG00005027859.1)". Lineage: Eukaryota; Metazoa; Chordata; Mammalia; Perissodactyla; Equidae. The record is from RNAcentral.
UUCAAGGCAAAGGUUGGGGUAUUGUUUCUACAAACCAAGGAUUAUUGGCAAUUACCAGAAGCAAGAUCUCACCCUUCUAGCCUCCGGAACUAUGAGACGAUAAAUUUCUGUUGUUUAAACCACCCAGUUUGUAGUUUGUAGUAUUUGUUAACGGCACCCUGGCAAACUAAUAUAGCAACAAGAUACCAAGAUGGCUUUCAAAAUUUAGGUGGCAAAGAUUAUUUAUUUCAGUCUCAUCAUGUAGUUGUCACUGUAGCAAAUAGAUUCACGGUUUUGCUUGUUUGUUUUUGGUCUUUACAUCUUUCUUUUCAGGAUUCAGUCCCCAGAGAGAGAGGCCAUGGUCAAACGUGGAUCCAACGCCCACUCAUGGUUAAAGGAGAACAGAGAACCUUCAUAUACAGUUCCCAGCAAAACUGUACUCUGUACCGAAUAGGUCCAUCUGAACCCUGUGUGGAGCAGAAUACUGUCAAGUAUGGUCUUUUCUACUCAGUAUAUUUAAAAAGAAGAGUUUAAAGAAUUGAGGAGGACAAAUUUUUUUCUAGAAAUUACGGCCCACUACCAUCUCGAAGAAACCUUGAGAGGAUGACAAGAUGAAAAAACUGGACAAACUGAAAAUUAAUAACUUUUGUGGACCCAUUAGAGAACUGAGACUGCAAAGCAUUCCACGACUUAAAAAUCUAAAGAAACAGAUGAAUCCAGAGAGUCAUAGAUGUGGUCUGAUUCCCUGGAGCAGAAGCUGCUGGAGCCAUAAAUAGAAACACAUAAAUGAUAAUUUGGAAGAAUUACUGGAGGCUGAGUGUGGACUUGC